Molecule: ribosomal RNA, 234 nt
Filed under: uncultured bacterium
Lineage: Bacteria
Description: partial 16S ribosomal RNA
Rfam family: Bacterial small subunit ribosomal RNA
Source: RNAcentral
UGAGGAACAUGACCUUCGGCGGGGGAUAGCCGGCCCAACGGCCGGGUAAUACCGCGUACGACCUUUCGGGGACAUCCCCGGAUGGUGAAAGCAGCAAUGCGCCGAUGGAGUGCCUCGCGACCUAUCAGCUAGUUGGUGGGGUAAUGGCCUACCAAGGCGACGACGGGUAGCUGGUCUGAGAGGAUGGCCAGCCACAUUGGGACUGAGACACGGCCCAGACCUCCGUACGGGAGG